GAUGAACGCUAGCGGGAGGCCUAACACAUGCAAGCCGAGCGGUAUAGAAUCUUCGGAUUUUAGAGAGCGGCGUACGGGUGCGGAACACGUGUGCAACCUACCUUUAUCUGGAGGAUAGCCUUUCGAAAGGAAGAUUAAUACUCCAUAAUAUAUUGAUUGGCAUCAAUUAAUAUUGAAAGCUCCGGCGGAUAGAGAUGGGCACGCGCAAGAUUAGUUAGUUGGUGAGGUGACGGCUCACCAAGACGAUGAUCUUUAGGGGGCCUGAGAGGUGAUCCCCACACUGGUACUGAGACACGGACCAGACUCCUACGGGAGGCAGCAGUGAGGAAUAUUGGACAAUGGGUGCAAGCCUGAUCCAGCCAUCCCGCGUGAAGGACGACUGCCCUAUGGGUUGUAAACUUCUUUUGUAUAGGGAAGAAAAGGCACGUCCUAAUACGGCGUGUUC
This 445-nucleotide ribosomal RNA is filed under the name uncultured bacterium. RNAcentral's name for it is "bacterial SSU rRNA". It matches the Rfam family "Bacterial small subunit ribosomal RNA", at positions 28 to 473 of the family's 1533-position model. The record is from RNAcentral.